GAGUUUGAUUAUGGCUCAGGACGAACGCUGGCGGCGUGCCUAAUACAUGCAAGUAGAACGCUGAAGGAGGAGCUUGCUUCUCCGGAUGAGUUGCGAACGGGUGAGUAACGCGUAGGUAACCUGCCUGGUAGCGGGGGAUAACUAUUGGAAACGAUAGCUAAUACCGCAUAAGAGUAGAUGUCGCAUGACAUUUGCUUAAAAGGUGCAAUUGCAUCACUACCAGAUGGACCUGCGUUGUAUUAGCUAGUUGGUGGGGUAACGGCUCACCAAGGCGACGAUACAUAGCCGACCUGAGAGGGUGAUCGGCCACACUGGGACUGAGACACGGCCCAGACUCCUACGGGAGGCAGCAGUAGGGAAUCUUCGGCAAUGGACGGAAGUCUGACCGAGCAACCGCCGCGUGAGUGAACGAAGGUUUUCGGAUCGUAAAGCCUACUGUUGUANGAGAAGAACGAGUGUGAGAAGUGGGAAGUUCACCNCUGUANCG
This 487-nucleotide ribosomal RNA is filed under the name Streptococcus pneumoniae. Its description in RNAcentral is "bacterial SSU rRNA". It matches the Rfam family "Bacterial small subunit ribosomal RNA", at positions 9 to 480 of the family's 1533-position model. The record is from RNAcentral. Lineage: Bacteria; Bacillati; Bacillota; Bacilli; Lactobacillales; Streptococcaceae.